RNAcentral lists this long non-coding RNA (971 nucleotides) under Xyrichtys novacula (pearly razorfish). Lineage: Eukaryota; Metazoa; Chordata; Actinopteri; Labriformes; Labridae. The record is from RNAcentral.
AAAAAAAAAAAAAGGCAGCACAGCAGCGAUUAUUAAAGCACGGGAGAGAGCAUGGCAGACAAUUGCGGACCGGCUCAAUACGAAGUCUGAAAAAAAAAAACAGUACAAUGAAUAAACAGCGCUCAACUGAAACUCCUAAAAAUUACAAUUAAAGGACCAACAGAGUUAGUGACUUUUCAUUUGCACUAAUGAACAGUUGUACACUUUCUAUGUUGCAAGUAUAGAAUUGCAUGUUACUCGGGGAAAAAAGUGCAAAGAAUUAUUCACAUUGUGUGAGUGUGUUACCGGUUAUCUAUUUAUCCAAAAUGAAUUUUGUUUGUCUAUUUUAUCUGUCCAUCCUUCUCUAAGAACAAACUUCUCUGGACAGAAGAAGAACUGGCAGUAAGUAAAUACCAAUUGAAAGGAUAUUCUGCUGGCUGGUGAGUACCUUUAGUGUAGAUAAUAAACAAAUGAGGUGACUAGAUUAGGUGUCUGCUUACAUAUUGAUUAUCUGAUUGUAGCAGUUAAAAUAAAAGCCCACAAAACUGGCACGGGGUGGCCCACCAGCCCACCAAGCCAAGAUUUGUCACCAGCAGAGGAGCUAGCACUGGACUUCAAUAAAGGGAGGUCAGUGACAGAGAGGACCCAGGGAUGGAUGGCCACAGACUCUGGCCCUGCGACAUAAACUGGCUGCUUUGUACAAGGUAGGCUGCACAUAGAACACAAUUAAAUGAGUGUAUUAUACUGCUUGACUUUGGAUUUCUUUGCAGUGUUUGGGGACACACUAGUACUUUUGAAGCCACCAGAGGAUGAUCUGGUUAGUACAGUACCAUUUAUUGAAAUCAGCACUUUGGCCUGCUCUGUUAAAUCUCUAGAAGGCUUGAGGUAUCGUAAAUUUUGUGGAAAUAUCCUGCUUAUUUAGUCUAUAAUGGAAAUAAAGUCAGUGAACUGGUGCGAAUAAAAUGCAGAUUCAGCACAGCCUCAGAAACAGC